CAGGCCUAACACAUGCAAGUCGAGCGGUAAGGCCUUUCGGGGUACACGAGCGGCGAACGGGUGAGUAACACGUGGGUGAUCUGCCCUGCACUUCGGGAUAAGCCUGGGAAACUGGGUCUAAUACCGGAUAUGACCUCCUAUCGCAUGGUGGGUGGUGGAAAGAUUUAUCGGUGCAGGAUGGGCCCGCGGCCUAUCAGCUUGUUGGUGGGGUAAUGGCCUACCAAGGCGACGACGGGUAGCCGACCUGAGAGGGUGACCGGCCACACUGGGACUGAGACACGGCCCAGACUCCUACGGGAGGCAGCAGUGGGGAAUAUUGCACAAUGGGCGAAAGCCUGAUGCAGCGACGCCGCGUGAGGGACGACGGCCUUCGGGUUGUAAACCUCUUUCAGCAGGGACGAAGC
This 404-nucleotide ribosomal RNA is filed under the name Rhodococcus sp. Lgg15.6. RNAcentral's name for it is "bacterial SSU rRNA". It matches the Rfam family "Bacterial small subunit ribosomal RNA", at positions 43 to 451 of the family's 1533-position model. Lineage: Bacteria; Bacillati; Actinomycetota; Actinomycetes; Mycobacteriales; Nocardiaceae. The record is from RNAcentral.